RNAcentral lists this long non-coding RNA (870 nucleotides) under Pan troglodytes (chimpanzee). RNAcentral describes it as "lncRNA (ENSPTRG00000054577.1)". Lineage: Eukaryota; Metazoa; Chordata; Mammalia; Primates; Hominidae. The record is from RNAcentral.
CAUGCACGCACCCCCACGUACGGACCCCCACGCACGCACGCACUCCACGCGUACGCAUAUAUAUUAAUAAAUCUAUAUCCCCUCACACACACCUCCACGUGCACACGCACACACAUCCCCCACGGGCUUCUCGGUGAGUCUUCACGCUCGAAAGCAUCUCCAUGUCACCACUCGCACACUGCCACGUCCGCACCUGUGUAAAUCACAUCUUCGCAUCUCCCCCACACAUCACACGCACACAAGCGUUCCCGCACACGCGCGCCUCCCCACGUACGCACCUCUCUACACCCCUUCAUACACACGCAUGCCUUCUCAAUACACGUACCAGCCCACUUGCACGCACUUGCACGCGCUUGCACCCUCCACACGCACCGCUCGGAGCUUUUCCCCCUCUCUCCUCCCAAUGGCUGGCUUCUGGAGCCGACCCUUCCACGCGCCCCCAGCUUCGCGGCAGCUAGGUCCCUCCCCAGCGCGCUGAGCUCACAGCCCAGGAGCCGGUCGCAGCCACACAGGCCCGUCCGACGGGACCACUGCUUCCCUCCUCACAUCCCAGGAGACACCAGGUGGGGCGUGGCACCUCCCACACACGGCUGGAGGGACUCCCAGGAUUUCCCGUCCUUCCGAAUUCGUGGGGGGUCAGGGGACUGCGGGGAGGCGUUUCUCAUCCUCGCUGGGGAAAGGACUCACCUGGUUCCCAAAGCCAGUUUGCUCUUCCUCUACUUCCUGCCAGAGGUCGUAGGAUUUCUGAUGAUCUGCCCUGAUGUCCCAACAUUCUUGGGGAGCCUGGCCUUAAAGAACAAUGGAAAGAAGCAGUCAUAGGAAUCCUGGACCAGGAAUAUGUGCCUGAGAGGGAUUAUACACCUGGUGCUG